AAAAUCCGGGGGGCUUAGCUGAGGCGUGAUGACGAGGCGCUACGGCGCUGAAGUGAUUGAUACCAAGCUUCCAGGAAAAGCCACUAAGCUUCAGUCUAGAGUUGACCGUACCGCAAACCGACACAGGUGGGCAGGAUGAAAAUUCUAAGGCGCUUGAGAGAACUCAGGAGAAGGAACUCGGCAAAUUAACACCGUAACUUCGGGAGAAGGUGUGCCCCGGUAGCGUGUAGAGACUUGCUCUCGAAGCGCGAUGGGGUUGCAGUGAAAUGGUGGCUGCGACUGUUUAAUAAAAACACAGCACUCUGCAAACACGAAAGUGGACGUAUAGGGUGUGACGCCUGCCCGGUGCCGGAAGGUUAAUUGAUGGGGUGCAAGCUCUUGAUCGAGGCCCCGGUAAACGGCGGCCGUAACAAUAACGGUCCUAAGGUAGCGAAAUUCCUUGUCGGGUAAGUUCCGACCUGCACGAAUGGCGUAACGAUGGCCACACUGUCUCCUCCUGAGACUCAGCGAAGUUGAAAUGUUUGUGAAGAUGCAAUCUACCCGCGGCUAGACGGAAAGACCCCAUGAACCUUUACUGUAGCUUUGCAUUGGACUUUGAACCGGUUUGUGUAGGAUAGGUGGGAGACUGUGAAGCCGGGACGCUAGUUUCGGUGGAGUCAACCUUGAAAUACCACCCUGAUUUGUUUGAGGUUCUAACCUUGGUCCGUGAAUCCGGAUCGGGGACCGUGCAUGGUAGGCAGUUUGACUGGGGCGGUCUCCUCCCAAAAGGUAACGGAGGAGUACGAAGGUACGCUUAGGGCGGUCGGACAUCGCCCACAAAGUGCAAUGGCAAAAGCGUGCUUGACUGCGAGACCCACAAGUCGAGCAGGUACGAAAGUAGGUCAUAGUGAUCCGGUGGUUCUGUAUGGAAGGGCCAUCGCUCAACGGAUAAAAGGUACCCUGGGGAUAACAGGCUAAUUCCUCCCAAGAGUUCAUAUCGACGGGGGAGUUUGGCACCUCGAUGUCGGCUCAUCACAUCCUGGGGCUGUAGUCGGUCCCAAGGGUAUGGCUGUUCGCCAUUUAAAGUGGUACGCGAGCUGGGUUUAAAACGUCGAGAGACAGUUUGGUCCCUAUCUGCCGUGGGCGCUGGAAAUUUGAAGGGGGCUGCUCCUAGUACGAGAGGACCGGAGUGGACGAACCUCUGGUGUACCGGUUAUGACGCCAGUCGUAUUGCCGGGUAGCUAAGUUCGGAAGAGAUAAACGCUGAAAGCAUCUAAGCGUGAAACUCGCCUUAAGAUUAGAUUUCCCGGAGUCUUGAACUC
Molecule: ribosomal RNA, 1301 nt
Filed under: metagenome
Description: bacterial LSU rRNA
Rfam family: Bacterial large subunit ribosomal RNA
Source: RNAcentral